GUCUAUGGCCAUGCCACCCCGAACAUGCCUGAUCUCCUCUGAUCUCGGAAGCUAAGCAGAGUCGGGCCUUGUUAGUACUUGGAUGGGAGACUGCCUAGGAAUACCAGGUGCUGUAGGUG
RNAcentral lists this ribosomal RNA (119 nucleotides) under Pteropus alecto (black flying fox). The record is from RNAcentral. Lineage: Eukaryota; Metazoa; Chordata; Mammalia; Chiroptera; Pteropodidae.